AUUGAACGCUGGCGGCAGGCCUAACACAUGCAAGUCGAGCGGAUGAAGGGAGCUUGCUCCUGGAUUCAGCGGCGGACGGGUGAGUAAUGCCUAGGAAUCUGCCUGGUAGUGGGGGAUAACGUCCGGAAACGGGCGCUAAUACCGCAUACGUCCUGAGGGAGAAAGUGGGGGAUCUUCGGACCUCACGCUAUCAGAUGAGCCUAGGUCGGAUUAGCUAGUUGGUGGGGUAAAGGCCUACCAAGGCGACGAUCCGUAACUGGUCUGAGAGGAUGAUCAGUCACACUGGAACUGAGACACGGUCCAGACUCCUACGGGAGGCAGCAGUGGGGAAUAUUGGACAAUGGGCGAAAGCCUGAUCCAGCCAUGCCGCGUGUGUGAAGAAGGUCUUCGGAUUGUAAAGCACUUUAAGUUGGGAGGAAGGGCAGUAAGUUAAUACCUUGCUGUUUUGACGUUACCAACAGAUUAAGCACCGGCUAACUUUGUG
This 484-nucleotide ribosomal RNA is filed under the name uncultured bacterium. Its description in RNAcentral is "partial 16S ribosomal RNA". It matches the Rfam family "Bacterial small subunit ribosomal RNA", at positions 30 to 507 of the family's 1533-position model. The record is from RNAcentral.